GAUAAACGCUGGCGGCGUGCUUAACACAUGCAAGUCGAACGAAGUUUUUCCUUCGUGAGAAACUUAGUGGCGGACGGGUGAGUAACGCGUGGGUAACCUGCCCUGUACAGGGGGACAACAGCUGGAAACGGCUGCUAAUACUGCAUAAGCCCUUAGCACUGCAUGGUGCAUAGGGAAAAGGAGCAAUCCGGUACAGGAUGGACCUGCGUCUGAUCAGCCAGUUGGCAGGGUAACGGCAUACCAAAGCGACGAUCAGUAGCCGAUCUGAGAGGAUGUACGGCCACAUUGAGACUGAGACACAGCCCAGACUCCUACGGGAGGCAGCAGUGGGGAAUAUUGCACAAUGGAGGAAGCUCUGAUGCAGCGACGCCGCGUGAGUGAAGAAGUAUUUCGGUAUGUAAAGCUCUAUCAGCAGGGAAGAAAAUGACGGUACCUGACUAAGAAGCACCGGCUAAAUACGUG
Molecule: ribosomal RNA, 462 nt
Filed under: uncultured bacterium
Lineage: Bacteria
Description: partial 16S ribosomal RNA
Rfam family: Bacterial small subunit ribosomal RNA
Source: RNAcentral